This 211-nucleotide unclassified non-coding RNA is filed under the name plant metagenome. RNAcentral describes it as "partial contains small subunit ribosomal RNA, internal transcribed spacer 1, and 5.8S ribosomal RNA". The record is from RNAcentral.
UUUCCGUAGGUGAACCUGUGGAAGGAUCAUUCAUAAUAAAGUGUUUUAUGGCACUUUUUAAAAAUCCAUAUCCACCUUGUGUGCAAUGUUAGAUCUCGUCAAUCUUGGCGAAAUUUUUAUACAUCAACUCAUUCUUUAACUAAUUUGUCUGAAAAAUAUUAUGAAUACUUAAUUCAAAAUACAACUUUCAACAACGGAUCUCUUGGCUCUC